GGCUCAGGAUGAACGCUAGCGGCAGGCCUAACACAUGCAAGUCGAGGGGUAGUAAGUGCUUGCAUUUAUGAGACCGGCGCACGGGUGCGUAACGCGUAUACAAUCUACCUUGUUCAAAGGGAUAGCCCAGAGAAAUUUGGAUUAAUACCUUAUAGUAUUAUAAGAUGGCAUCAUUUAAUAAUUAAAGAUUUAUCGGAACAAGAUGAGUAUGCGUCCCAUUAGCUAGUUGGUAUGGUAACGGCAUACCAAGGCAAUGAUGGGUAGGGGUCCUGAGAGGGAGAUCCCCCACACUGGUACUGAGACACGGACCAGACUCCUACGGGAGGCAGCAGUGAGGAAUAUUGGACAAUGGGCGCAAGCCUGAUCCAGCCAUGCCGCGUGCAGGAAGACGGUCCUAUGGAUUGUAAACUGCUUUUAUACAGGAAGAAACACCUCUACGUGUAGAGACUUGACGGUACUGUAAGAAUAAGGAUCGGCUAACUCCGUGCCAGCAGCCGCGGUAAUACGGAGGAUCCAAGCGUUAUCCGGAAUCAUUGGGUUUAAAGGGUCCGUAGGCGGAUUUAUAAGUCAGUGGUGAAAUCUCCCAGCUCAACUGGGAAACUGCCAUUGAUACUGUAGGUCUUGAAUUAUUAGGAAGUAACUAGAAUAUGUAGUGUAGCGGUGAAAUGCUUAGAUAUUACAUGGAAUACCAAUUGCGAAGGCAGGUUACUACUAAUACAUUGACGCUGAUGGACGAAAGCGUGGGUAGCGAACAGGAUUAGAUACCCUGGUAGUCCACGCCGUAAACGAUGGAUACUAGCUGUUCGGAGCAAUCUGAGUGGCUAAGCGAAAGU
RNAcentral lists this ribosomal RNA (833 nucleotides) under Flavobacterium gelidilacus. RNAcentral's name for it is "bacterial SSU rRNA". It matches the Rfam family "Bacterial small subunit ribosomal RNA", at positions 21 to 858 of the family's 1533-position model. Lineage: Bacteria; Pseudomonadati; Bacteroidota; Flavobacteriia; Flavobacteriales; Flavobacteriaceae. The record is from RNAcentral.